This 19-nucleotide unclassified non-coding RNA is filed under the name Mus musculus (house mouse). Its description in RNAcentral is "oocyte_clustered_small_RNA12686". The record is from RNAcentral. Lineage: Eukaryota; Metazoa; Chordata; Mammalia; Rodentia; Muridae.
UCAGGGAUACUGGGGAGAG